AUGACGCGCCCCGGGGCAGUCGUCGAGGCCGACAAGGCGGCGGACACGGCCACCGUGGCGACGGAGGGGCUCGACACCAACAGCGCGCCGGCGGCAUUCUCGCGGCCGUCCAGCAACCGCGGCUACGGUCUCUACGGCCGCCCGGAGGAGAACGAGAAGUACCCGCCGGCCUACUUCCGCCGCGGCGUGCACCGCGACGCUGAGAAGCUGACGACCACCAACGUCGUGCCGGAGACAGAGCCGAGGCACGGGGAGGAGGCGGCCGUCCCGGUGCAGGAAGAACAAUCCUCGGGCGAGGAGGAGCCGGCGUUCCCCGCGGACGGCAGCGGCAGGGGGCGGCCGCUGUCGUACAUGCGCCACGGCGGCAAGCACGACCGCGACUACUACGGGAUGAGCGACACGAGGCUGUACCAGAACGGCCGGUACUACUACGACGUGGAGACCGACAAGUACGGGUACGGCUACGAGUCCAACCCGGUGCGGACGGCGCGCCCCGAGCCCGAGGACAACGGCUCCGGGUACGGCCGCCCCGGCCGCGAGCGGAGGUACGGCGACGCUGCCGGAGACGAGAACGACAACGACAACGGGGUGGCCGAGAAGCAGAACGACGGCGGCCACCAGGAAAACCAGAACGGGCAGUACAAUCCAUGA
Molecule: ribosomal RNA, 651 nt
Filed under: Triticum aestivum (bread wheat)
Lineage: Eukaryota; Viridiplantae; Streptophyta; Magnoliopsida; Poales; Poaceae
Description: partial small subunit ribosomal RNA
Source: RNAcentral